This 921-nucleotide long non-coding RNA is filed under the name Panax ginseng (ginseng). RNAcentral describes it as "long non-coding RNA (PGIN_LNC009933)". Lineage: Eukaryota; Viridiplantae; Streptophyta; Magnoliopsida; Apiales; Araliaceae. The record is from RNAcentral.
CCUUGUAAACAGGAAAUAGGAAUCUCCAACAUAAAGGAAAAGACAAAAAACAAGAAAACUUGUUCAAUAGCUGACAUGCUUUGAGCUAACUUUUGAAAUAACAUUUAAUAUUUACAAUUACUCGUACAAAUAAUCCCAAAUGAAUAAUUCAUGAUAAUAAGGAAAAUCCUACACAAGCUAUAACAAGUAUCUUACAACAAAUUAUACAGCCAUUCAACCAAGUUCAAUGAAGAAAAGAUGGUGGCUAGCUCAUCAAGUCGAUCCUGCUGCUCCAGACACAUGCUCCAUGUUUUCAUCAAGACGAAAUUCCUUUCAUAUUCUUUCUUUUGGAUAGAAAAGAAAGAGAUUAAGAAAAAUCAUAAGCAGAGAAUGAUCCUCAAAAACUAGCAGGAAAAAAAAAAAUUAAUUAGAAAGGAAGAGAUUAAAAAAAUGAUGAGUGGAGGAUGAGAAAUCCUCAAAAAACUAGACCAGGAAAAAAGAAAAAAAAAAUAUAUACAAGAAAGAUAAAGCCUAAAAGAGGGCUUCCCUCCAGUCUCUCAUAGCAAAGCCACCACACUGCCCAUCCGAAUUAUCCAAAUCAAUUCUUUCGCCAUAUGAAACUUCAUGCAAGUACUAACAACAUUUCAAAAUUAAUGUCAAUCUAAUUUCACAAAGAGCUUUACAAAUAUAAUCAUGUAAUGAGGAACAAAAUAAACUUUAUGAAUGAAUUUAUGAGAUUCUAGUAUAAGAGAACUAACCAUGUAUCCAGUAAUGCAGCUAAAACUUGAAAGGUGGGUAGUGCAAGAAGAGAGAAAAACAUCACACCAUGAGUGAAAAUAAUUCAACCCUCUUGUAUGAGCUUGCUUCGUUAUAUUUCAUAUAUGCAUCUUCAUCAAGACCAAGCAUAUUCUUGCAGCCUCUGCCAUCUGCUGUUGUUGAAGG